Molecule: ribosomal RNA, 464 nt
Filed under: Vreelandella stevensii
Lineage: Bacteria; Pseudomonadati; Pseudomonadota; Gammaproteobacteria; Oceanospirillales; Halomonadaceae
Description: partial 16S ribosomal RNA
Rfam family: Bacterial small subunit ribosomal RNA
Source: RNAcentral
CCUAGGGUGGCAGCAGUGGGGAAUAUUGGACAAUGGGCGAAAGCCUGAUCCAGCCAUGCCGCGUGUGUGAAGAAGGCCUUCGGGUUGUAAAGCACUUUCAGUGGGGAAGAAAGCCUUGGGGCUAAUACCCUCGAGGAAGGACAUCACCCACAGAAGAAGCACCGGCUAACUCCGUGCCAGCAGCCGCGGUAAUACGGAGGGUGCGAGCGUUAAUCGGAAUUACUGGGCGUAAAGCGCGCGUAGGCGGUCUGAUAAGCCGGUUGUGAAAGCCCCGGGCUCAACCUGGGAACGGCAUCCGGAACUGUCAGGCUAGAGUGCAGGAGAGGAAGGUAGAAUUCCCGGUGUAGCGGUGAAAUGCGUAGAGAUCGGGAGGAAUACCAGUGGCGAAGGCGGCCUUCUGGACUGACACUGACGCUGAGGUGCGAAAGCGUGGGUAGCAAACAGGAUUAGAUACCCCAGUAGUC